GAUUCAUAAUAACUUUGCGGAUCACGUUAUGUGACAUAUCAUUCAAGUUUCUGACCUAUCAGCUUUAGACGGUAGGGUAUUGGCCUACCGUGGCUAUGACGGGUAACGGGGAAUUAGGGUUCGAUUCCGGAGAGGGAGCCUGAGAAACGGCUACCACAUCUAAGGAAGGCAGCAGGCGCGCAAAUUACCCAAUCCUAAUACAGGGAGGUAGUGACAAGAAAUAACAAUACAGAACCUCACGGUUUUGUAAUUGGAAUGAGUUAAGUAUAAACCCCUUAACGAGUAUCAAUUGGAGGGCAAGUCUGGUGCCAGCAGCCGCGGUAAUUCCAGCUCCAAUAGCGUAUAUUAAAGUUGUUGCAGUUAAAAAGCUCGUAGUUGAUUUUCUGUUAAUUUUUAUGUAUAAUAUUGCGAUAUUUACAUAAUAUUAACAUAAUUCACAUUACUUUACAGUAUGUGGAAUUUUACUUUGAGAAAAUUAGAGUGCUUAAAGCAGGCUAUUGCCUUGAAUACUCCAGCAUGGAAUAAUAUUAAGGAUUUUUAUUCCUCUCCUUGGUUGUAGAAUAAAAAUAAUGAUUGGUAGCCACGGGCGGCCGUAGAAGUUGGAACCGUUACAGGGGUCCCCCUCCCCGAAGCUAACCAAAAUCCCCGUUACCCGAAAAACCCGGGAGGGCCGUUUCCUUCCCCCAAAGUAAAUGGGCGAAACCGAGAAAGAAUGUUCCCUGUCGGGUCCCCACAGUAUUUUUGCACUCAGAAAGGGGGGUUUUCUUAUAAUACCCCCCUUAAAAAA
Molecule: ribosomal RNA, 787 nt
Filed under: Cryptosporidium sp. pig genotype II
Lineage: Eukaryota; Apicomplexa; Conoidasida; Eucoccidiorida; Cryptosporidiidae
Description: bacterial SSU rRNA
Rfam family: Eukaryotic small subunit ribosomal RNA
Source: RNAcentral